GUCUACAGCCAUGCUACUCUGAACAGGCGGGAUCCCAUUUGAUCCGGGAAGCUAAGCAGGGUGAGGCCUGGUUAGUACUUGGAUGGGAGACCGCCUAGGAAGACCAGGUGCUGUAGGCA
This 119-nucleotide ribosomal RNA is filed under the name Pteropus vampyrus (large flying fox). The record is from RNAcentral. Lineage: Eukaryota; Metazoa; Chordata; Mammalia; Chiroptera; Pteropodidae.